RNAcentral lists this ribosomal RNA (1214 nucleotides) under uncultured Bacteroidota bacterium. RNAcentral's name for it is "bacterial SSU rRNA". It matches the Rfam family "Bacterial small subunit ribosomal RNA", at positions 313 to 1528 of the family's 1533-position model. Lineage: Bacteria; Pseudomonadati; Bacteroidota. The record is from RNAcentral.
CUGGUACUGAGACACGGACCAGACUCCUACGGGAGGCAGCAGUGAGGAAUAUUGGGCAAUGGAGGCAACUCUGACCCAGCCAUGCCGCGUGCAGGAUGACGGCCCUAUGGGUUGUAAACUGCUUUUAUACAGGAAUAAACCCCCGAACGUGUUCGGGGCUGAAGGUACUGUACGAAUAAGCACCGGCUAACUCCCGUGCCAGCAGCCGCGGUAAUACGGAGGGUGCAAGCGUUAUCCGGAUUCAUUGGGUUUAAAGGGUCCGCAGGCGGGGUAUUAAGUCAGUGGUGAAAGCCGGCAGCUCAACUGUCGAAUUGCCAUUGAUACUGGUACUCUUGAGUGUAGUUGAAGUAGGCGGAAUAAGUCNAUGUAGCGGGUGAAAUGCAUAGAUAUGACUUAAGAACACCGAUUGCGAAGGCAGCUUACUAAGCUAAUAACUGACGCUCAUGGACGAAAGCGUGGGGAGCGAACAGGAUUAGAUACCCUGGUAGUCCCACGCCGCAAACGAUGAUCACUCGCUGUUGGCGAUAUACAGUCAGCGGCCAAGCGAAAGCAUUUAAGUUGAUCCACCUGGGGNAGNUACGCUCGCAAGAGUGAAACUCAAAGGAAAUUGACGGGGGCCCGCACAAGCGGUGGAGCAUGUGGUUUAAAUUCGAUGAUACGCGGAGGAACCUUACCUGGGCUUAAAUGCAGAUUGACAGAUUGGGGAAACCGAUUUUUCUUCGGACAAUUUGCAAGGUGCUGCAUGGUUGUCGUCAGCUCGUGCCGUGAGGUGUCGGGUUAAGUCCCAUAACGAGCGCAACCCCUAUUCUUAGUUGCCAGCGGUUCGGCCGGGGACUCUAAGAAAACUGCCCGCGCAAGCGGUGAGGAAGGUGGGGAUGACGUCAAAUCAUCACGGCCCUUACGUCCAGGGCUACACACGUGCUACAAUGGUGUUGACAGAGGGCAGCUACACUGCGAAGUGAUGCUAAUCCUAAAACAACAUCUCAGUUCGGAUCGGAGUCUGCAACUCGAUCCGUGAAGCUGGAAUCGCUAGUAAUCGCGCAUCAGCCAUGGCGCGGUGAAUACGUUCCCGGGCCUUGUACACACCGCCCGUCAAGCCAUGGAAGCUGGGGGUGCUGAAGUCGGUAACCGCAAGGAGCUGCCUAGGGUAAAACCAGUAACUGGGGCUAAGUCGUAACAAGGUAGCCGUACCGGAAGGUGCGGCUGGAUCACCU